CUGCUGCCUUCCGUAGGAGUCUGGGCCGUGUCUCAGUCCCAGUGUGGCCGGUCACCCUCUCAGGUCGGCUACGUAUCGUCGCCUUGGUGAGCCGUUACCUCACCAACCAGCUAAUGCGCCAUAAGUCCAUCCUCUACCAGUGCCUUGCAGCACUUUAAUACGGUCACCAUGCAGUGUCCCUACCUAUGCGGUCUUAGCUGCCGUUUCCAGCAGUUAUCCCCCUGUAAAGGCCAGGUUACUUAUGUUA
Molecule: ribosomal RNA, 247 nt
Filed under: uncultured bacterium
Lineage: Bacteria
Description: partial 16S ribosomal RNA
Source: RNAcentral